RNAcentral lists this transfer RNA (73 nucleotides) under Ctenolabrus rupestris (goldsinny wrasse). RNAcentral's name for it is "tRNA-Asp". It matches the Rfam family "tRNA". From Rfam's summary of the family: Transfer RNA (tRNA) molecules are approximately 80 nucleotides in length. Their secondary structure includes four short double-helical elements and three loops (D, anti-codon, and T loops). The record is from RNAcentral. Lineage: Eukaryota; Metazoa; Chordata; Actinopteri; Labriformes; Labridae.
AAGACAUUAGUUAAACAAGUGAUAACACCGCCUUGUCAAGGCCGAAUCGUGGGUUAAAACCCCGCAUGUCUUG